Molecule: long non-coding RNA, 586 nt
Organism: Herpailurus yagouaroundi (jaguarundi)
Lineage: Eukaryota; Metazoa; Chordata; Mammalia; Carnivora; Felidae
Exons: 3
Source: RefSeq, a predicted model, not a curated record
AGAUAGCCCAGAAUUCCCGGGAUAAUGUGUAACGGGGCCCGCUAGUAAAGGAAUCGCUAAGGACCUAUGGCACACGGGACAAGAGCCUGGAGAGCAAGGGCCCCUGAGUUGGAGGCCUGGGAAGGACCGAAUAAGGCAACGUGUGGACGAAGUCUUACGUGAACUGGAAGCUACCAGCUACGUCAUUUCAAGAAUGCUGUGGCCAUCACACAAGGAGCCCUGGACCCUACACCCUGUAAACCCAACCCUUAGAGUUUGGGGGCCCCUUUCCUUCACAGGUACGUGAAUCCCCAUUUGACCUGGCCCUCACCCAUCGUUCUUAGUCCCCAGGCAGGCUCUGUGUUUUCCAAAAUCCCAUCUUUUUGUUUUUUUGUUUUCCCCCCUUCUUUUCUUUUCAAACGAGUUCAAAUGGCUUCAGCCACAUCUGGGGAAUCCUUGAAGUCUCAAUUCUGAUGCUCACUUAGGACCCAUUCUGCUACACGUUUUUCCAACACGACUGACCUCCUCUCCCAUCCCAACUCUAUGGCCUCUGGGAACAGUCUGACUGCGACAGUACCGAUUAUUAAUGAUACCGUGAACGACCGAG